CAGCUCUUGACAUGGACAGGACCGACGCAGAGAUGCGUUUUCCCCGCAAGGGGCCUGUUGCACAGGUGCUGCAUGGCUGUCGUCAGCUCGUGUCGUGAGAUGUUGGGUUAAGUCCCGCAACGAGCGCAACCCUCGCCUCUAGUUGCCAGCACGUCUGGGUGGGCACUCUAGAGGAACUGCCGGUGACAAGCCGGAGGAAGGUGGGGAUGACGUCAAGUCCUCAUGGCCCUUAUGGGCUGGGCUACACACGUGCUACAAUGGCGGUGACAGAGGGAAGCCAGGUCGCGAGGCCGAGCCGAUCCCUAAAAGCCGUCUCAGUUCAGAUCGUACCCUGCAACUCGGGUACGUGAAGGUGGAAUCGCUAGUAAUCGCGGAUCAGCACGCCGCGGUGAAACG
Molecule: ribosomal RNA, 396 nt
Filed under: uncultured Pseudomonadota bacterium
Lineage: Bacteria; Pseudomonadati; Pseudomonadota
Description: bacterial SSU rRNA
Rfam family: Bacterial small subunit ribosomal RNA
Source: RNAcentral